AGAGUUUGAUCAUGGCUCAGAAUAAACGCUGGCGGCGUGCCUAACACAUGCAAGUCGAACGAGAAAGGCCGCAAGGCUGAGUACAGUGGCGCACGGGUGAGUAACACGUAGGAAUCUACCCCUUUGUGAAGGAUACCUUGGAGAAAUCCAGGCUAAUACUGCAUAAGCCCAGAAAUGGGGAAAGGUGGCCUCAAGCUACCGCGGAGGGAUGAGCCUGCGUCCUAUUAGUUAGUUGGCAGGGUAAUGGCCUACCAAGACUGAGAUGGGUAGCCGGCCUGAGAGGGUGUCCGGCCACACUGGAACUGAAACACGGUCCAGACUCCUACGGGAGGCAGCAGUGGGGAAUAUUGCACAAUGGGCGAAAGCUUGAUGCAGCGACGCCGCGUGGAGGAUGAAGGUCUUCGGAUUGUAAACUCCUGUUAAGCGGGAAGAAAGACUAGCAUCUAAUACAUGCUGGGGAUGACGGUACCGCUAGAGAAAGCACCGGCAAACUUCGUGCCAGCAGCCGCGGUAAUACGAAGGGUGCAAGCGUUAUUCGGAAUGACUGGGCGUAAAGAGCGCGGAGGCGGUCUUUUAAGUCAUCUGUUAAAGCGCUCGGCUUAACCGAGCAUAUGCGGGUGAAACUGGAAGGCUAGAGUUCAGGAGAGAAAGGUAGAAUUCUCGGAGUAGCGGUAAAAUGCGUAGAUCUCGAGAGGAAUACCGGUUGCGAAGGCGGCCUUUUGGCCUGUAACUGACGCUCAAGCGCGAAAGCGUGGGGAGCAAACAGGAUUAGA
This 773-nucleotide ribosomal RNA is filed under the name uncultured bacterium. RNAcentral describes it as "bacterial SSU rRNA". It matches the Rfam family "Bacterial small subunit ribosomal RNA", at positions 8 to 782 of the family's 1533-position model. The record is from RNAcentral.